Molecule: ribosomal RNA, 497 nt
Filed under: uncultured bacterium
Lineage: Bacteria
Description: partial 16S ribosomal RNA
Rfam family: Bacterial small subunit ribosomal RNA
Source: RNAcentral
GACGAACGCUGGCGGCGUGCCUAAUACAUGCAAGUAGAACGCUGAAGAGAGGAGCUUGCUCUUCUUGGAUGAGUUGCGAACGGGUGAGUAACGCGUAGGUAACCUGCCUUGUAGCGGGGGAUAACUAUUGGAAACGAUAGCUAAUACCGCAUAACAAUGGAUGACACAUGUCAUUUAUUUGAAAGGGGCAAUUGCUCCACUACAAGAUGGACCUGCGUUGUAUUAGCUAGUAGGUGAGGUAAUGGCUCACCUAGGCGACGAUACGUAGCCGACCUGAGAGGGUGAUCGGCCACACUGGGACUGAGACACGGCCCAGACUCCUACGGGAGGCAGCAGUAGGGAAUCUUCGGCAAUGGGGGCAACCCUGACCGAGCAACGCCGCGUGAGUGAAGAAGGUUUUCGGAUCGUAGAGCUCUGUUGUAAGUCAAGAACGGGUGUGAGAGUGGAAAGUUCACACUGUGACGGUAGCUUACCAGAAAGGGACGGCUAACUACGUG